Long non-coding RNA from Chinchilla lanigera (long-tailed chinchilla), 427 nucleotides. RefSeq lists it as uncharacterized. The transcript has 2 exons. The record is from RefSeq and is a predicted model, not a curated record. Lineage: Eukaryota; Metazoa; Chordata; Mammalia; Rodentia; Chinchillidae.
GCUGAUUAUGGACUAAAACCUCUCAAACUGCCAGAUAAAUAAACCUUUCCUCCUUUAACUUUGGGUGUUAGCUGUUUUGUCUCUGCUAUGACAGAAAUGCAACAAAGAUAGUGCAUUUAAUCACUUGAUAUUCUUAUUUGUUACUUGAUUAUUCAUUUGUCUGUUUUCCCUUAGUGUAUAAGUUCUGCAGGGGCAGCACAUGUUACUCAUCUUUGCUGAAUCUCCAGUGUCUAAUUCUCCAUGGAAAGAAAUUGUCAAGUUUCGUUUAAAGACUGUAUUGUGUUGGAAUAUAUGAUAUUAAAAUGAAAAAUGACCUAGGACUAUGCAGAUAGUAAAUGGAAACAAUGAACCUGUUACGGUCUUUUGAGGAAGAGUUAAUGCAUUUAGCACUGUUUGUUUCAAUAACCUUGUCCAUAAUUAAAACUGA